RNAcentral lists this ribosomal RNA (610 nucleotides) under Gastrophanella sp. 3 AS-2019. Its description in RNAcentral is "partial 28S ribosomal RNA". It matches the Rfam family "Eukaryotic large subunit ribosomal RNA", at positions 83 to 518 of the family's 3401-position model. Lineage: Eukaryota; Metazoa; Porifera; Demospongiae; Tetractinellida; Siphonidiidae. The record is from RNAcentral.
GUAACGGCAAGCGAAGCGGGAAGAGCUCGAGCAGGCAAUCUCUGGCGUGAAUCGUCAGCGAAUUGUGGCCGGGGGAGGCGGCUGCACCCGAGGCGAUCCGUCCGAAGUUGACCUGAAAAGGCACGUCGGAGACGGCAAUAACCCCGUGCGUGGCCUGGUCGCCGAGGGCCGCUGUCGUCUUCCGAGAGUCGGGUUGUUUGGGAUUGCAGCCCAAAGUGGGUGGUAAACUCCAUCUAAAGCCAAAUAGCGGCAUGAGACCGAUAGCAAACAAGUACCGUGAGGGAAAGGUGAAAAGCACUCUGAAAAGAGAGUUAAAUAGGCCGCGAAACCGUUAGGAGGGAAACGCGUGCAGCCGAACGUGCCCUCGCCGGGUUCAAGGGAUGGCGGGAGGAGGCCUGUCGGCGGGCACCCUUGUGGGUCCCCGAGGCGGGCUCGUCCCCGCAGCCCUGCACUCACGGCGUUGCGGGUCGACCAAGGGCGGCGGUUUCUCGGGCGAAGCGGGCGAUCGGGAGGUACCGCAGCCGGCCCCGGUGUCGGAGGCGAACCUAGAGCCGUUCGUCUCCGGAGCCCGCGGGCCGCCGAGGAGAGGGCGUCUGUGUCGCCCCGUCAG